AUUCACAUGCUUGUAUGCAAGCAUUUUGCAUUCUUCCAUGUGAAACUUACUUCGUGGCUAGUAGACAGCUCUCUUUGCCUUUCCUAGAAGCCGGCAUUUCAUUUCGCCAAGACCCCUCUUAUCCUGACUGCCAUGCCUUUCAAGAGCGCCUUCACCCCUCCGAGCUCACGUCUGCGGUUGUCUGCGCAGACAUGAUGCUGAUUUUGUGGCGAUGUCUGCAUUGAAACAGACAUGGAAGAUAAUAUCUUUAGCGUGUGCUGUUCUCGUAAUCGCCCAGCUGUCCUCGGUCUGCAUUCACCUCUGCAGACACUCCAUAUAGUGUAUAAAGGUUUGCAGAUACAGAUAGUUUCACAUCAACUGGUGUGUGUUCAAGCUCUUCUUUGCAACAGCGUCUGUGAUCUUACUGAUCAUCGAAUUCAAUUCCUUCACUUUAAAAUUCGGAAUCGGGGCAAGGAUGGAAGAUCCAUCCCCAACUGAACCGCCUCCGUCAUGGCCUUCUUGGCCUCCGUCAUGGCCACCAACCCGGUAACCUCGUCCGCUGCAAACUGCGCAAUGGCCGUGACUUCAGAAAAAUACAAACAGAAGAGGAGAGGCGACUAGUUCCAUCUUAGCUUAGAUGGCUUCGCCUAUUUACUCAUUCACUUUUGAAUGCAAGCAUGGUGAUUGGAUUUCUACUGACAGACAUCUAGCAUUAAACAAUCCUGAAGUAAUUUUUUUUCUAGAGAGAGGUCUUCGCUACAAGAGUUAAGGAAAUGACGUUCGCUACUAUUUUUGUCACCAUCUCGUAGACAUGGCUUCCAAGACCUUCCUCUAGAUCAACUGGAUGAACUCUGCAAUUCCAGUUAAGAUCGUUUUGUACAGAUUAUUCAUUAUUCUUUGUAAUUAAUGUGCUGAAAAAAACGUGUUUUCACUUGCA
Non-coding RNA from Physcomitrium patens, 916 nucleotides. The record is from RefSeq and is a predicted model, not a curated record. Lineage: Eukaryota; Viridiplantae; Streptophyta; Bryopsida; Funariales; Funariaceae.